This 189-nucleotide ribosomal RNA is filed under the name uncultured marine bacterium. RNAcentral describes it as "partial 16S ribosomal RNA". It matches the Rfam family "Bacterial small subunit ribosomal RNA", at positions 338 to 524 of the family's 1533-position model. The record is from RNAcentral.
CCUACGGGAGGCAGCAGUGAGGAAUAUUGGGCAAUGGAGGCAACUCUGACCCAGCCAUGCCGCGUGCAGGAAGACUGCCCUGUGGGUUGUAAACUGCUCUUAUACAGGAAGAAACACACCUACGUGUAGGUGCUUGACGGUACUGUAAGAAUAAGCACCGGCUAACUCCGUGCCAGCAGCCGCGGUAAU